Vicugna pacos (alpaca) is the source of this 73-nucleotide non-coding RNA. The record is from the annotation of a RefSeq genome assembly. NCBI's taxonomy places the organism in Eukaryota, Metazoa, Chordata, Mammalia, Artiodactyla, Camelidae.
GGGGUUAUAGCUCAAUAGUUAGAGCACAUGCUUAUCAUGCACGAGGUCCUGGGUUCAAUCCCCGGUACCUCCA